UAAAAUAGGCGUAUGUAUGAAUGAAAUAAUAAUAAUAAUAACAUUAAUAAUAACAAUAAGUAAGAUAAAAAAUAAAAAAAAAUGAUAUAGCAUAGUCAUGAUAAAAACACAAAAAAAAAUGGAUCAAAUUGAGUUAAAAACGAGCAAAUGGGGCGAAUUUAGAAUAAAAUUUAAAAAGAAGGGGCCCACUUGAACGCGCGCGUAACAGCGGAGGACCAAAAGGGAAAUUAUCCUGUCUUUCCAAAACGUUGCGCAGCGAGGGACCCAUUUGAAACAGAAAUCAAAUAUGCGGCCCAAUUUUGAAAAAAAAAACAAGACUGGUUUAAUUGAAGCGCGUUGCAAAAGGGAGGGGUCAAAUGCGCAAUUUCCCCUUUAGUCCAAAUGCGCGGAUCCUCCCCUCCGGGUCGGGUCACCGCACGGGUCGCACCUGGCUAAAACGGCGCCGCUUUGAUCUGCUAUUUAAAGUAGUUUUUUUUCUAAAACCUCAUUUUUGCAGUAGGAAAAAGAAAAAAAAUAAAAAACAAGAAAACACCCUCUGUUAGGGUUUCGUCACAGCUCCUUGCGCCGCCGUCCGUCUGCCGUGGUUUCGCCGCAACCAGUGGCCGGAGGCUCGCCAAACUGGGUUUUUAACCCUUUUUGGAGCGGAUUCAAAGGCAAGGUAAGCCUUUCCUUUCUAUUUUUUCCGUCUAUUUUAACACUAAAUCAAAAAAAAGAAAAUAACUAAAAAAAGACUAACAAUCACCUUAAAAAACAAAUAAGCAAAUUGCUCUUCUAUUGAUCUUUUCUCUGUAUUUUCAGUUUUUCUUUUGAUUUCUCUCUUGUCUCUUUCCUCCUUUCCCCCUCUACAAAGUAAAAAUAUGGCUUUAUAUAGCCCAAAACUAACUUCUUUUCCACUAUAUUUUUGUUGGUGGACUCACUGAGUCCGUGUUUGCAGGCGUUCGUGGAGAGCACGUGGAGGAUCGGCCCCGAGACGUGCGGCGGUUGGAGGCCUUGCUGGAGGCGGGGGCUGCGGCGCUACCUGCUGCUAGGGUUUCUUUUUGUUUAGGCUUUUGUUUUAUUGUGUUGGGCUAUAUGGGCCUGUAUUUUAACCAAUUUGGGCUGUGUGUUUUGUUUUGGGCCAGUUGGGCCUAUUACAAUAUAUAUAAAUUAAAGACAAAAUAAACUUGAUUUUAUCUCGUUUUAGUGUAUUAAUCUAUUAAAUGUAAAAACGAAGUUAUUACUUCAUUUCGACUACUAACUCUUGUUGGAACAUUUUCAAAUAUUUAUAGUAUCCCAAUAACUAUAAAUGAAUGAGUGUAAUUAAUCAAAAGAUAAAUCUUUUGGUCAUUGGUCAAAAGUUAUA
Molecule: long non-coding RNA, 1342 nt
Filed under: Gossypium barbadense (sea-island cotton)
Lineage: Eukaryota; Viridiplantae; Streptophyta; Magnoliopsida; Malvales; Malvaceae
Description: long non-coding RNA (GBAR_LNC016307)
Source: RNAcentral